GUGGGGAAUUUUGGACAAUGGGGGCAACCCUGAUCCAGCAAUGCCGCGUGCAGGAAGAAGGCCUUCGGGUUGUAAACUGCUUUUGUACGGAACGAAACGGUCUGGGUUAAUACCCUGGGCUAAUGACGGUACCGUAAGAAUAAGCACCGGCUAACUACGUGCCAGCAGCCGCGGUAAUACGUAGGGUGCGAGCGUUAAUCGGAAUUACUGGGCGUAAAGCGUGCGCAGGCGGUUUUGUAAGAUCGAUGUGAAAUCCCCGGGCUCAACCUGGGAACUGCAUUGGUGACUGCAAGGCUGGAGUGCGGCAGAGGGGGAUGGAAUUCCGCGUGUAGCAGUGAAAUGCGUAGAUAUGCGGAGGAACACCGAUGGCGAAGGCAAUCCCCUGGGCCUGCACUGACGCUCAUGCACGAAAGCGUGGGGAGCAAACAGGAUUAGAAACCCCGGUAGUCC
Molecule: ribosomal RNA, 450 nt
Filed under: uncultured bacterium
Lineage: Bacteria
Description: partial 16S ribosomal RNA
Rfam family: Bacterial small subunit ribosomal RNA
Source: RNAcentral